GCAGAACGCGAAGAACCUUACCUACACUUGACAUGCCUCUUGGGACUUUCAGAGAUGAUUGUUUUCGGUUCGGCCGAGGAGUGCACAGGUGCUGCAUGGCUGUCGUCAGCUCGUGUCGUGAGAUGUUGGGUUAAGUCCCGCAACGAGCGCAACCCUUAUCGUAUGUUGCCAGCAUUUAGUUGGGCACUCAUGCGAGACUGCCGGUGAUAAGCCGGAGGAAGGCGGGGACGACGUCAAGUCAUCAUGGCCCUUACGUGUAGGGCUACAAACGUGCUACAAUGGCGGUGACAAUGGGCAGCGAGGCAGUGAUGCCAGGCUAAUCCUAAAAAGCCGUCUCAGUUCAGAUUGUACUCUGCAACUCGAGUACAUGAAGUUGGAAUCGCUAGUAAUCGUGAAUCAGCAUGUCACGGUGAAUACGUUCCCGGGUCUUGUACACACCGGAGGUCGGUGGGGGAGGGCAAGGGGCACGACAGGGGGGGAUA
RNAcentral lists this ribosomal RNA (482 nucleotides) under uncultured bacterium. RNAcentral's name for it is "bacterial SSU rRNA". It matches the Rfam family "Bacterial small subunit ribosomal RNA", at positions 954 to 1434 of the family's 1533-position model. The record is from RNAcentral.